RNAcentral lists this ribosomal RNA (482 nucleotides) under uncultured bacterium. RNAcentral's name for it is "partial 16S ribosomal RNA". It matches the Rfam family "Bacterial small subunit ribosomal RNA", at positions 28 to 523 of the family's 1533-position model. The record is from RNAcentral.
GAUGAACGCUGGCGGCGUGCUUAACACAUGCAAGUCGAACGAUGAAGCUCAGCUUGCUGGGUGGAUUAGUGGCGAACGGGUGAGUAACACGGGAGUAACCUGCCCAUGCCUCUGGGCUAAGGCUGGGAAACUGGGUCUAAUACCGGAUAGGAACGUCUACCGCAGUGUGGCUGUUGGAAAGAUUUAUCGGUCAUGGAUGUACUCGCGGCCUAUCCGCUUGUUUGUGAGGUGAUGGCUCACAAAGGCGACGACGGGUAGCAGGGCUGAGAGGGUGACCGGCCACACUGGGACUGAGACACGGCCCAGACUCCUACGGGAGGCAGCGGUGGUGAAUAUUGCACAAUGGGCGAAAGCCUGAUGCAGAGACGCCGCGUGAGGGAUGACGUCCUUCGGGUUGUAAACCUCUUUCAGUAGCGAAGAAGCGAAAGUGACGGUACCUGCAGAAGAAGCACCGGCUAACUACGUGCCAGCCGCCGCGGUAA